AUACGGAGGGUGCGAGCGUUAAUCGGAAUUACUGGGCGUAAAGCGUGCGUAGGCGGUUUGCUAAGUCAGAUGUGAAAGCCCCGGGCUUAACCUGGGAACUGCAUUUGAUACUGGCAGACUAGAGUAUGAUAGAGGGGGGUAGAAUUCCUGGUGUAGCGGUGAAAUGCGUAGAUAUCAGGAGGAAUACCAGUGGCGAAGGCGGCCCCCUGGAUCGAUACUGACGCUGAGGUACGAAAGCGUGGGGAGCGAACAGGAUUAGAUACCCGAGUAGUCC
Molecule: ribosomal RNA, 274 nt
Filed under: uncultured bacterium
Lineage: Bacteria
Description: partial 16S ribosomal RNA
Rfam family: Bacterial small subunit ribosomal RNA
Source: RNAcentral